Phascolarctos cinereus (koala) is the source of this 321-nucleotide non-coding RNA. The record is from RefSeq and is a predicted model, not a curated record. NCBI's taxonomy places the organism in Eukaryota, Metazoa, Chordata, Mammalia, Diprotodontia, Phascolarctidae.
UCUGGACUAGGAUGUGACUGGAGUGAGCACCUGGAGGUCUGCCUGCCUCUCACUCACUUGCCUUCCCCCACCCUUCCACACCCCACCCUUCCGUUACCCACAUCUUCCAGAUUGACCGACUCUGAGGAUCCUGCUAAUGCCUAAGUGGCUGUGAAUAGACUGUGAAUUCCUGGAGUGCAGGAGCUGUCUUUGUGCCAUUCUUUGUAUCCACAAAGCGAAGAGCAGUGCCUGGUGAAUGGACGUGAACAGAAUUUUUCAUCCUAAAUUCCUUGGAAUUGUCUUGAAUCAACAUCCUCUUCAAGAACAAAAGACAACCUGUGA